Ipomoea nil (Japanese morning glory) is the source of this 185-nucleotide long non-coding RNA. RefSeq lists it as uncharacterized. The transcript is spliced from 3 exons. Lineage: Eukaryota; Viridiplantae; Streptophyta; Magnoliopsida; Solanales; Convolvulaceae. The record is from RefSeq and is a predicted model, not a curated record.
AAGUUGCAGCUCAACUUGAAGGACAAUUGGGUCAUCGUCCAUCGUAUUAUGAACUAUUCAAGCAUACACAUACCAAACAACACGGUGGAUAAACAUUCAUAGCUGAAAAAGCCAAACAAAUUCAUGAACAAGUUGAAUUGCAACGGGAGAUGUUGGCAUAAAAUGGGGAGCAGGUGGAUGAUAAU